CAACCUAUUAAACACAUAUCACUUAUCCUCUUAUCUAAAUGUUAUUCCAUAGGAGAAAAUUUAAAUUUUUAAGCUAAGGACACAAUUUCCAUUAGAAAGAGUACACUGGUUGAUCAGGCCACCGCACUUCCUUCUAAUUUCUUCUGUGUCUCAAAGCUUUAACUAACUUCUAAAAUAUCAUUAUUUAUAGAUAUAAUUAUCUUUCACCAUUUAUUUAUCUAUUUAUUUAUUCUUAUUAUUUAUUUUAUUUAUGAUUCUGUAACUGUCUUAGUGCACAGUGCGUCCACCUGCAUUAAGACCGUCUCCUAUUUAGUGUCUCUCCUUUGUUGGUUACGGCCGAUCCCAACGUAGGAGUUUUAUAUUCAAUUUCCUAUGUUCCGCAAUUGAUUCCUAAGGCCCAACUUAAUGCUCUGAUACCAACUUUGUCACGACCCAUUUCCGUGGGCCGGACCN
Molecule: long non-coding RNA, 453 nt
Filed under: Jatropha curcas
Lineage: Eukaryota; Viridiplantae; Streptophyta; Magnoliopsida; Malpighiales; Euphorbiaceae
Description: long non-coding RNA (JCUR_LNC001740)
Source: RNAcentral